UACGUAGGGGGCGAGCGUUGUCCGGAAUCAUUGGGCGUAAAGAGCGUGUAGGUGGCUUGGAAAGUCUUACGUGAAAGCCUGCGGCUCAACCGCAGAAGUGCGUAGGAAACUUCCUCGCUAGAGUCCGGAAGAGGAGAGCGGAAUUCCUGGUGUAGCGGUGGAAUGCGCAGAUAUCAGGAGGAACACCCGUGGCGAAGGCGGCUCUCUGGGACGGUACUGACACUGAGAGACGAAAGCUAGGGGAGCGAAUGGG
Molecule: ribosomal RNA, 253 nt
Filed under: uncultured bacterium
Lineage: Bacteria
Description: partial 16S ribosomal RNA
Rfam family: Bacterial small subunit ribosomal RNA
Source: RNAcentral